This is an RNA transcript of Sorghum bicolor (sorghum), 2496 nucleotides long. It is a transcript of the gene named proline-rich protein 2-like, with no coding region annotated. The transcript is spliced from 2 exons. The record is from RefSeq and is a predicted model, not a curated record. NCBI's taxonomy places the organism in Eukaryota, Viridiplantae, Streptophyta, Magnoliopsida, Poales, Poaceae.
GCCGGCCUAGCUACUGUAAGAGCCGUCUCUUAGUAAGUUUUUCAUGGCACCCCACCCCGCGCGGCACUGGCGAGCCCUCCCGGCCCUGUCCUGCCCCAGCCGCGGCCAGCCCGAUACUGGCGCGUCCAAGCCGCGCCCCGUCUCACCCCGGCCGGCCGCCGGCCACCGGAUCCGGGCCGUCCCUCUCCCUCCGACCCAGCGGCCCGCUUGUCCCCGACGGACGACGGCGCCGCCCCCAGCCAUCCCCAACCCUCGGUACAUAAUACUCCCCUCGGUCCCUAACCACCCGUCAGAAGUGCUAACUCUUUCCCUACGUUCACCAUAUACCGAAGGGAAAGGGCCAGACACCCGCUCGAGCUUCUCUUCUCCUGUCCUCCGCCUAGAUCUGGCUCUUUACCUUCCAAAUCCACCUGCACUAGGACCUCGGGGCGACGCGGGUGGAGCAAUUCAGGGCCGCGACAGUGGAACGGCUUGGGCCUCUAGGCUGUGCGGGUGGAGCGGCGCUGUGGCAGGCGCCGCUGCGACGGACGGAGCAGCCAUGGCUGCUGGCUCCAUGGCGAGAUUGGCAGCGCGAAUCUGUAGAGGUGUCGAGGACCUGGUGGGUGGCGGCGUGGAUGGGGCGUAGGUGCCACCGUACAUGCAGCGUCCAUGUGUACAGGCACUUGUUCUUAAUACCUUAUAAAUAGAUCUGGUAGUUUUUUUUUAAUUGUGCCUUUGCAAAUCUGGAAUUUCAUAUUAUUGCAGUUCUCGAAUUGUUUUUUUUGUAUUGCUUUCAUUCAGUUACUUGUUGUCAGACACACCAAUAGGCAAUAUCUAUGAAAUCUGAUGUAAGAACGAUUUGUUACUCUACUACAGAAAUAUUUAUUUGAAGUGAAAGUAGGGGUAGAGAUUUAGUGGGCAUGGUACUUCUACAAAUUCUAUUGCAUGUAUAUAGGCUGCAGAUGUAUCUUGGAACAGUCUUGUUUCUCUGAACAGCUAUUCUUGCUCAAUAAUGAACAUUAUGAAGGAUUUUAUUCUGUAGAAUUUACGAGACAUCAAUGGUAGUGAAAUAUUUUUUUUUAAUGUUCAUAUCAUAUCCUGAAGUGUUGAGAUAACUGUUUUAGCAAGAUAUCUUAUUGAUUGCUUGCCACUGCUAGCUAGCUAUCUUGUUAGUUAUGCAGACUUAGAAUUAGAUUGCUAGUUAACCAUGUUGAUUCAUGCUCUAUGUUUCCUGUUGCUCAUAGUUAACCUGCUUGUUUAUUAGGAUUUUGUGUCAAGUUGAUGUCAUUCUAGUGCACACUAAAACAUUAGAUUGCUAGUCUAUCAAUUUUUUUGGUUCUGUUGCAAGCAAACUAUGUUCUGAUUGCUGUAGAGAUAUAUAUCAUAUUGUUGCCAUUAAUCAGUUUAGAGUAAAGGACUGCAACAUUGACAGUAAUGUGUAGUUGUCAGCAAUUUUGGGUUGUCAGAUAGGUGCUUCUAGCUGCUCGGGGAAGAGGUGAUCCCACAAAUAUCUGCUUGGUCAGAACUAAUAGCUAGUUUGUAGCUCUAUACAAUGCAGUCAGAUUAUUAUGUACUAAUGACAAUGUUUACUUGGACACCAUACUAUAAUUGGGUAUAUUCUAAUAUAUAGAACAAACAUUAAGUAAUCCUUGUUAUAUUAAUAAUAAUACAGUUCAGUUGUUAAUAUAAUUGCUACUGUCCCUACAAUUGGCCUAGUUUCCUCCUGUUUGGUUGAUGGUAAGGUUGACGGCCUCUUUGUCUUGAUGAAGGAUGAUCUGAGGCAGCUGAUACGCUGAUAUGCAGCCUGAGUACACGAUCUCCAACUGAUAAGAAUCGAAGUAUUUCAGUGAUUGGGUGACAAAUGGUGAUCGGAUCGAGCAAGUAUUACUUUGUUCCCUCUGUAAAAGAAAAGAAAUCCUCCCUACAAAUACUUUGCUAGUUGCUAAUGAUUCUCCAGUUGCCUUUAUAAACUGAAGUUCACAAAUAUAGCUGUGAAAUUAAUCAUGUACUUUGUGCUGUUAUUUACCAUUUUGCCUUUUUUCCCUUAACUGUUUACGCUCAGGCACACUCGUGGACAAGUGGAUGGGGUGCUCUUGCCUUGGAGCCAUUGGAAAAAGACAGAACAGCUAGGAUGUGCCUCCUUCACGCCAAACUACACACUGUCGUAAAGUGACAAGCUCGCUCUUGCUAGCAUGCAGCAUGGAGCAUUAUCUGUUGUUGGGUCCAUGCAUCUCCUUUUUGGUUUCAGUUUGUCAAAGUGAUUGUGUACAGUAAACAAUCUAGUAUACUUUGAUAUGCCGCCAUGUAUGUACUACGUGUUUAUGACUUGGUGCAAAUGUACAAGACAUCUAUAUGCAUGUCAUAUGGAGAUCCAUGUAUUUGGGUACUAAAUUUGUGAAAGUGAAUGUGAUAUGAUGGAUCUUCAAUUCAAAAACUCAGAUUAUAAUGUAUUGAUUCUGCUAAAUUGGAUGUGUUGUAGUUAUGUUUUAUGGCUUGGUGCAAAUUAAAUGUGCAAGA